ACUCAAAUGAAUAGACGGGGGCCCGCACAAGCGGAGGAGCAUGUGGUUUAAUUCGAUGAUACGCGAGGAACCUUACCCGGGCUUGAAUUGCAGUGGAAUAUUCAGGAAACUGGAUAGUCUUCGGACCACUGUGAAGGUGCUGCAUGGUUGUCGUCAGCUCGUGCCGUGAGGUGUUAGGUUAAGUCCUGCAACGAGCGCAACCCUUACACUUAGUUGCCAGCAUGUAGUGAUGGGGACUCUAGGUGAACUGCCUACGCAAGUAGCGAGGAAGGUGGGGAUGACGUCAAAUCAGCACGGCCCUUAUGUUCGGGGCUACACACGUGCUACAAUGGUCGGUACAGAGGGUCGCUACCCCGCGAGGGGAUGCCAAUCUUCAAAGCCGGUCUCAGUUCGGAUCGGAGUCUGUAACUCGACUCCGUGAAGUUGGAUUCGCUAGUAAUCGCACAUCAGCCAUGGUGCGGUGAAUACGUUCCCGGGCCUUGUACACACCGCCCGU
Molecule: ribosomal RNA, 496 nt
Filed under: uncultured bacterium
Lineage: Bacteria
Description: bacterial SSU rRNA
Rfam family: Bacterial small subunit ribosomal RNA
Source: RNAcentral